Danio aesculapii is the source of this 496-nucleotide long non-coding RNA. RefSeq lists it as uncharacterized. The transcript is spliced from 3 exons. Lineage: Eukaryota; Metazoa; Chordata; Actinopteri; Cypriniformes; Danionidae. The record is from RefSeq and is a predicted model, not a curated record.
UUUCAGAUUUUACCACAUUCUAGUAUUUACUUGUUUUGUUUUUAUUUUUUAGGCUUUGUUUUUGUUUUACCUGCUUUCCGGAACCGUUCUUCGCCAAACUUUAAUCUUGUUGUCACGAUUAACUCCGCUCCACAUCACAAGUCUGUCGACGUAUGCGGUGAGCCACUGGACAAACGUUAACAGCAGGAAAGCUGUCCAUAUAGAGAUUCCCCUAAAUGUUUGAUGAGUAGUGUUUUUUUCUGUACAAGCCAAAAUUCUCAAACGUAUCAGCCUGGGGCCAGUUUAAACAUCACUACCAUGGCAUCCACUCAAAAUAUAAUCUGACAGGAAGAACUGGAAGAUCUCAGUCACAAGUCAAUGCUCAGCGCAGAACAACAGGUGCAGGAGCUCAGCUUACAGACCUGCAGCUUCUGCUGUCUGAGACUCAAAUACUCAAAUACUUGAUGUUUUUUUUUGUAUUAAGCAUUAAGUCGAUUUUCACCUGGAGUUGGUUAUU